GGAUGAAGAACGCAGCGAAAUGCGAUACUUGGUGUGAAUUGCAGAAUCCCGUGAACCAUCGAGUCUUUGAACGCAAGUUGCGCCUCAAGCCAUUAGGUUGAGGGCACGUCUGCCUGGGCGUCACAUAUCGUUGCCUGAUGCCAGUUUCCUCGUGAUGGGUGACUGUGCAGGGCGAAUGAUGGCUUCCCGUGAGCAUUGUUGCCUCAUGGUUGGUUGAAAAUUGAGUCCUUGGUAGGGAGCGCCGUGAUAGAUGGUGGUUGAGUGACGAACGAGACCCAAUCAUGUGAGACCCCUACCGAAUUUGGCCUUCAUGACCCACAUGCGUCUUUGGAACGCUCAUGACGAGACCUCAGGUCAGGCGGGGCUACCCGCUGAGUUUAAGCAUAUCAAUAAGCGGAGGA
Molecule: unclassified non-coding RNA, 401 nt
Filed under: soil metagenome
Description: partial contains 5.8S ribosomal RNA, internal transcribed spacer 2, and large subunit ribosomal RNA
Rfam family: 5.8S ribosomal RNA (bases 2-123)
Source: RNAcentral